GCCCCUGUGGCCUAAUGGAUAAGGCAUCGGCCUCCUAAGCCGGGGAUUGUGGGUUCGAGUCCCACCAGGGUAAUCA
This 76-nucleotide transfer RNA is filed under the name Manduca sexta (tobacco hornworm). Its description in RNAcentral is "tRNA-Arg". It matches the Rfam family "tRNA". Rfam says of the family: Transfer RNA (tRNA) molecules are approximately 80 nucleotides in length. The record is from RNAcentral. Lineage: Eukaryota; Metazoa; Arthropoda; Insecta; Lepidoptera; Sphingidae.